This 497-nucleotide ribosomal RNA is filed under the name uncultured bacterium. Its description in RNAcentral is "partial 16S ribosomal RNA". It matches the Rfam family "Bacterial small subunit ribosomal RNA", at positions 28 to 507 of the family's 1533-position model. The record is from RNAcentral.
GAUGAACGCUGGCGGCGUGCCUAAUACAUGCAAGUCGAGCGAACAGAUGAGGAGCUUGCUCCUCUGACGUUAGCGGCGGACGGGUGAGUAACACGUGGAUAACCUACCUAUAAGACUGGGAUAACUUCGGGAAACCGGAGCUAAUACCGGAUAAUAUAUUGAACCGCAUGGUUCAAUAGUGAAAGACGGUUUUGCUGUCACUUAUAGAUGGAUCCGCGCCGCAUUAGCUAGUUGGUAAGGUAACGGCUUACCAAGGCAACGAUGCGUAGCCGACCUGAGAGGGUGAUCGGCCACACUGGAACUGAGCCACGGUCAAGACUCCUGCGGGAGGCAGCAGUAGGGAAUCUUCCGCAAUGGGCGAAAGCCUGGCGGAGCAACGCCGCGUGAGUGAUGAAGGUCUUCGGAUCGUAAAACUCUGUUAUUAGGGAAGAACAAAUGUGUAAGUAACUAUGCACGUCUUGACGGUACCUAAUCAGAAAGCCACGGCUAACUACGUG